CCACUCUGUAACAACCCAAAAAUCGGACCGCUACCGGCGCUAGGAUCCAGAUCGGCUUAAGGCCGCCGGGACCCGUAGCAAGCCUGACAUAUAACCUGUAAACCUGUAUAAUCCCAUACAUGAUCAACAACAUACAUAAAAAUCUAAAACUUUUCUUUCCAUUCAUACCUCAAACUCAACCUGUGCAUGCACUGUACAUAACAUAAAUCAUAAACAUUGAUCCCUCUGUGGGAUUCAACAG
This 241-nucleotide long non-coding RNA is filed under the name Manihot esculenta (cassava). Its description in RNAcentral is "long non-coding RNA (MESC_LNC009500)". Lineage: Eukaryota; Viridiplantae; Streptophyta; Magnoliopsida; Malpighiales; Euphorbiaceae. The record is from RNAcentral.